This is a long non-coding RNA of Neopsephotus bourkii (Bourke's parrot), 1138 nucleotides long. RefSeq lists it as uncharacterized. The record is from RefSeq and is a predicted model, not a curated record. The transcript is spliced from 3 exons. Lineage: Eukaryota; Metazoa; Chordata; Aves; Psittaciformes; Psittacidae.
GAGAUCAUAAAGCACACGUGGGAAAAUGGAGAGAUCAGGCCCAGUCAGCAUGGGGUCAUGAAGGGCAGGUCUUACUUCAACAACCUGAUUUCCUUCUAGGAUAAGGGAGAGCAUUUUCAAAGCACUAUGGCAAUGCAUGGUGGUCCCAAGAUGCACAAUAAUCUACAAAUCCUUUUGUUGUACCUUCUGAAGAGAGUUUGGCUACUGUUACAAUGGGAUCCAGUUCUACACUUGGCAGCCACCUGGGAAAAAAAAAAAAAAAGCUACCAAGGACAGAAAAAAAAUUAAACUGUAAGAUCUCAUCCUCUGCAAUAACAGUGGAAAUAUUGCCCUUUGGGGAACAAAACACUUCUGGCAGUGAUUUCCAAAGGAAUAUGAGCCCUUCCUAACCUUCAAAAAAGUAACUUAAAAAAAUUAUAGCCUUCCCUUCAGGAUUGUAAUGGAUAAGCCAGUGAGGCACAGUUUUCAACCAGACACUGUGUAAAACCACAACUCCUGAGCCAGCAUUAUUAUACACACACAUCAUUCAAGAUGGUGUUUUUCUAGUUGAUGUCUCCUCCUUUUCAGAAGAUAGAAUCAGCUCUCUGCUGAAGAGCAUGUAAGACUCACCAAACACUGACCUGGAUGGAUGGCAGGCUGUCCUGCAUCUGCAUUGGAUGCACUUGGCCAGGCCUGUGGAGGGGCCAAUACAGCCCCAUGAGGGCAGCCACUGCCCUACAUUGGGUACAGACAGUGCCAGUCAGCUCCACCCCACCUAUAGCCAGCCCACGCUGUGCCAAAACUGAACCAACCACAGCCACCAGGGAACAGACACCAAAGGAAAAAGAUGACGCUCAAGCUGGGGCAGACAUGAUGGCAGAGCAAAAGAGAGACACUGGGGCAGAAGAGUCACUGCAGAAAAAGGCGGCACAAGAGGAGAUGCCUGAGCUGGACUACAGCACAGAUAUGUCCAAGAAGGGUUGGGUUAAACUGAUACUCAAACAGGAACAGAGCAAGGAGAUGCCUAAGCAGAGCUGCAGCUAAAAGAUGCUCGAGCUGGGAGAGGUGCACAAGAGGAAGGUACACCUCUAAGGGGACACAGCAGUCUGUGGAGGAGCCCACGCUGGAGCAGCAAAGCAAGAAAACAAGGAGAGACAAA